CGGGCGACGUGCCGGUCUAAGUCCCUUGGAACGGGGCGUCACAGAGGGUGAGAAUCCCGUAUGUGAUCGGUGACCAAGCCCAUGUGAAACCCCUUCGACGAGUCGAGUUGUUUGGGAAUGCAGCUCAAAACGGGUGGUAAAUUUCAUCUAAAGCUAAAUACCGGCCAGAGACCGAUAGCGCACAAGUAGAGUGAUCGAAAGAUGAAAAGCACUUUGGAAAGAGAGUCAAAAAGUACGUGAAAUUGUUGAAAGGGAAGCGCUUGCGACCAGACCUGCCCGCGGGCGAUCAGCCGUCCUUCUGGGCGGUGCACUCGUCCGCGAUCAGGCCAGCAUCGGUUCGGGCGGCCGGAUAAAGGCUCGGGGAACGUAGCUCCCUUCGGGGAGUGUUAUAACCUCGAGCGCCAUGCGGCCCGCCGGGACCGAGGACCGCGCUUCGGCUAGGAUGUUGGCGUAAUGGUCGUAAGCGGCCCGUCUUGAAACACGGACCAAGGAGUCGACCAACUAUGCGAGUGUUUGGGCGUCAAACCCACACGCGCAAUGAAAGUGAACGGAGGUGGGAACCCCUCGCGGGGCGCACCAUCGACCGAUCCAGAUGUCUUCGGAUGGAUUUGAGUACGAGCAUAGCUGGUCGGACCCGAAAGAUGGUGAACUAUGCCUGAAUAGGGUGAAGCCAGAGGAAACUCUGGUGGAGGCUCGCAGCGGUUCUGACGUGCAAAUCGAUCGUCAAAUUUGGGCAUAGGGGCGAAAGACUAAUCGAACCGUC
RNAcentral lists this ribosomal RNA (763 nucleotides) under Dufourea angustata. RNAcentral describes it as "LSU rRNA". It matches the Rfam family "Eukaryotic large subunit ribosomal RNA", at positions 165 to 944 of the family's 3401-position model. Lineage: Eukaryota; Fungi; Ascomycota; Lecanoromycetes; Teloschistales; Teloschistaceae. The record is from RNAcentral.